UCGACGUGAAGUCCUUCGGGAUGAGUAAAGUGGCGCACGGGUGAGUAAUGCGUAGAUAAUCUGCCUGGUGAUUUGGGAUAACAUCUCGAAAGGGGUGCUAAUACCGGAUAAGCCCACGGAGUCUUCGGACUUUGCGGGAAAAGGGGGGGACCUUCGGGCCUUCUGUCACCAGAUGAGUCUACGUACCAUUAGCUAGUUGGUGGGGUAAGAGCCCACCAAGGCUACGAUGGUUAGCUGGUCUGAGAGGAUGAUCAGCCACACUGGAACUGAGACACGGUCCAGACUCCUACGGGAGGCAGCAGUGGGGAAUUUUGCGCAAUGGGGGAAACCCUGACGCAGCAACGCCGCGUGAGUGAUGAAGGCCUUCGGGUCGUAAAGCUCUGUCAGAGGGAAAGAAAUGUGGGUGGCUAAUAUCCAUUCCGCUUGACGGUACCCUCAAAGGAAGCACCGGCUAACUCCGUGCCAGCAGCCGCGGUAAUACGGAGGGUGCGAGCGUUGUUCGGAAUUAUUGGGCGUAAAGCGCGUGUAGGCGGUUUUAUAAGUCUGAUGUGAAAGCCCCGGGCUCAACCUGGGAAGUGCAUUGGAAACUGUAAGACUUGAGUACGGGAGAGGGCAGUGGAAUUCCUAGUGUAGGAGUGAAAUCCGUAGAUAUUAGGAGGAACACCGGUGGCGAAGGCGGCUACCUGGACCGAUAUUGACGCUGAGACGCGAAAGCGUGGGGAGCAAACAGGAUUAGAUACCCU
RNAcentral lists this ribosomal RNA (743 nucleotides) under uncultured bacterium. RNAcentral describes it as "bacterial SSU rRNA". It matches the Rfam family "Bacterial small subunit ribosomal RNA", at positions 62 to 788 of the family's 1533-position model. The record is from RNAcentral.